RNAcentral lists this ribosomal RNA (433 nucleotides) under uncultured bacterium. RNAcentral describes it as "partial 16S ribosomal RNA". It matches the Rfam family "Bacterial small subunit ribosomal RNA", at positions 29 to 507 of the family's 1533-position model. The record is from RNAcentral.
AACGAACGCUGGCGGCAUGCCUAACACAUGCAAGUCGAACGAGACCUUCGGGUCUAGUGGCGCACGGUUGCGUAACGCGUGGGAACCUGCCCUUAGGUUCGGAAUAACUCCCCGAAAGGGGUGCUAAUACCGGAUAAUGUCUUCGGACCAAAGAUUUAUCGCCUUUGGAUGGGCCCGCGUUGGAUUAGCUAUUUGGUAGGGUAAAAGACUACCAAGGGGUGGAUUCAUACAUGGUAUCAGAGGAUGGUCAGCCACACCGAGACUGAGACACGGCCCAGACUCCUACGGGAGGCAGCAGUGGGGAAUAGUGGAACGUGGGCGAAAGCAUGAAGCAGCAAUGAUGCGUGAGUGAUGAAGGCCUUAGGGAUGUAAAGCUCUUUUAACCGGGAUGAUAAUGACAGUACCGGGAGAAUAAGCCCCGGCUAACUACGUG